AGUGAACGCUGGCGGUAGGCCUAACACAUGCAAGUCGAACGGCAGCACAGUAAGAGCUUGCUCUUACGGGUGGCGAGUGGCGGACGGGUGAGGAAUACAUCGGAAUCUACUUUUUCGUGGGGGGUAACGUAGGGAAACUUACGCUAAUACCGCAUACGACCUACGGGUGAAAGCAGGGGAUCUUCGGACCUUGCGCGAUUGAAUGAGCCGAUGUCGGAUUAGCUAGUUGGCGGGGUAAAGGCCCACCAAGGCGACGAUCCGUAGCUGGUCUGAGAGGAUGAACAGCCACACUGGAACUGAGACACGGCCCAGACUCCUACGGGAGGCAGCAGUGGGGAAUUUUGAACAAUGGGCGCAAGCCUGACCCAGCCAUCCCGGGUGGGUGAAGAAGGCUUUGGGGUUGAAAAGCCCUUUUGUGGGGAAAAAAAAGCAGCAGGUUAAUACCCCGCUGUUCUGACGGUACCAAAAGAAUAAGCACCGGCUAACUUCGU
This 491-nucleotide ribosomal RNA is filed under the name uncultured bacterium. Its description in RNAcentral is "partial 16S ribosomal RNA". It matches the Rfam family "Bacterial small subunit ribosomal RNA", at positions 29 to 506 of the family's 1533-position model. The record is from RNAcentral.